This 947-nucleotide ribosomal RNA is filed under the name uncultured bacterium. RNAcentral describes it as "bacterial SSU rRNA". It matches the Rfam family "Bacterial small subunit ribosomal RNA", at positions 37 to 984 of the family's 1533-position model. The record is from RNAcentral.
UGGNGGGCAUGCUUACCAUGCAGUCGAACGGUAACAGGUCUUCGGAUGCUGACGAGUGGCGAACGGGUGAGUAAUACAUCGGAACGUGCCCGAUCGUGGGGGAUAACGCAGCGAAAGCUGUGCUAAUACCGCAUACGAUCUACGGAUGAAAGCGGGGGAUCGCAAGACCUCGCGCGGACGGAGCGGCCGAUGGCAGAUUAGGUAGUUGGUGGGAUAAAAGCUUACCAAGCCGACGAUCUGUAGCUGGUCUGAGAGGACGACCAGCCACACUGGGACUGAGACACGGCCCAGACUUCUACGGGAGGCAGCAGUGGGGAAUUUUGGACAAUGGGCGAAAGCCUGAUCCAGCAAUGCCGCGUGCAGGAUGAAGGCCUUCGGGUUGUAAACUGCUUUUGUACGGAACGAAAAGACUCUGGUUAAUACCUGGGGUUCAUGACGGUACCGUAAGAAUAAGCACCGGCUAACUACGUGCCAGCAGCCGCGGUAAUACGUAGGGUGCAAGCGUUAAUCGGAAUUACUGGGCGUAAAGCGUGCGCAGGCGGUGAUGUAAGACAGAUGUGAAAUCCCCGGGCUCAACCUGGGAACUGCAUUAGUGACUGCAUCGCUGGAGUGCGGCAGAGGGGGAUGGAAUUCCGCGUGUAGCAGUGAAAUGCGUAGAUAUGCGGAGGAACACCGAUGGCGAAGGCAAUCCCCUGGGCCUGCACUGACGCUCAUGCACGAAAGCGUGGGGAGCAAACAGGAUUAGAUACCCUGGGUAGUCCACGCCCUAAACUAUGUCAACUGGUUGUUGGGAAUUCACUUUCUCAGUAACGAAGCUAACGCGUGAAGUUGACCGCCUGGGGAGUACGGCCGCAAGGUUAAAACUCAAAGGAAUUGACGGGGACCCGCACAAGCGGUGGAUGAUGUGGUUUAAUUCGAUGCAACGCGAAAACCUUACCCACCUUUGA